RNAcentral lists this unclassified non-coding RNA (336 nucleotides) under soil metagenome. Its description in RNAcentral is "partial contains 5.8S ribosomal RNA, internal transcribed spacer 2, and large subunit ribosomal RNA". The stretch from base 1 to 120 matches the Rfam family "5.8S ribosomal RNA", at positions 35 to 154 of the family's 154-position model. The record is from RNAcentral.
GAUGAAGAACGCAGCGAAAUGUGAUAAGUAGUGUGAAUUGCAGAAUUCAGUGAAUCAUCGAAUCUUUGAACGCACAUUGCGCCCCUUGGUAUUCCAUGGGGCAUGCCUGUUCGAGCGUCAUUUGUACCUUCAAGCUUUGCUUGGUGUUGGGUGUUUGUCUCGCCUUUGCGUGUAGACUCGCCUUAAAAUAAUUGGCAGCCGGCGUAUUGAUUUCGGAGCGCAGUACAUCUCGCGCUUUGCACUCAUAACGACAGCGUCCAAAAGUACAUUUUACACUCUUGACCUCGGAUCAGGUAGGGAUACCCGCUGAACUUAAGCAUAUCAAUAAGCGGAGGA